Molecule: ribosomal RNA, 253 nt
Filed under: uncultured bacterium
Lineage: Bacteria
Description: partial 16S ribosomal RNA
Rfam family: Bacterial small subunit ribosomal RNA
Source: RNAcentral
UACGAAGGGGGCUAGCGUUGUUCGGAUUUACUGGGCGUAAAGCGCACGUAGGCGGAUCGUUAAGUCGGGGGUGAAAUCCUGGAGCUCAACUCCAGAACUGCCUUCGAUACUGGCGAUCUUGAGUCCGGAAGAGGUGAGUGGAACUCCUAGUGUAGAGGUGGAAUUCGUAGAUAUUAGGAAGAACACCAGUGGCGAAGGCGGCUCACUGGUCCGGUACUGACGCUGAGGUGCGAAAGCGUGGGGGGCGAACAGG